AGCUUUGUGCAGUCGCAGUAUCGCAGCCAAUGAGGGUUAUCCAAGGCGUGAUUAUUGCUAAUUGAAAACUUUUCCCAAUGCCCUACCGUGACGACUUGCUAUAUAGUUGGCCCUGGCAAUUUUUGAUGGUCUCUAUGGAGA
Nycticebus coucang (slow loris) is the source of this 141-nucleotide small nuclear RNA. RefSeq annotates it as U4 spliceosomal RNA. The record is from RefSeq and is a predicted model, not a curated record. The transcript has a single exon. NCBI's taxonomy places the organism in Eukaryota, Metazoa, Chordata, Mammalia, Primates, Lorisidae.